AUACGGAGGACGCGAGCGUUAUCCGGAUUCAUUGGGUUUAAAGGGUGCGCAGGCGGCCGUGCAAGUCAGCGGUGAAAGCCCGGGGCUCAACCCCGGAAGUGCCGUUGAUACUGCAUGGCUGGAAUGCGGUCGAGGCGGGCGGAACGUGGCGUGUAGCGGGGAAAUGCGUAGAUAUGCCACAGAACGCCGAUAGCGGAGGCGGCUCGCCAGGCCUGCAUUGACGCUCGGGCACGAAAGCGUGGGGAUCGAACAGGAUUAGAUACCCUGGUAGUCCACGCCGUAAACGAUGGGCGCUCGUCGUCGGCGGCAGAGAGUCGGCGGCCAAGCGAAAGCGAUAAGCGCCCCACCUGGGGAGUACGGUCGCAAGGCUGAAACUCAAAUGAAUUGACGGGG
RNAcentral lists this ribosomal RNA (393 nucleotides) under uncultured bacterium. Its description in RNAcentral is "partial 16S ribosomal RNA". It matches the Rfam family "Bacterial small subunit ribosomal RNA", at positions 523 to 918 of the family's 1533-position model. The record is from RNAcentral.